This is a long non-coding RNA of Stegodyphus dumicola, 530 nucleotides long. RefSeq lists it as uncharacterized. The record is from RefSeq and is a predicted model, not a curated record. Lineage: Eukaryota; Metazoa; Arthropoda; Arachnida; Araneae; Eresidae.
GUAUGAUUUAGACUUAUAAUAGUUCCAAUAGCUUAUUAUCUCUGUUAAUUGCAAUUAUGUGUUGCUGAAUUUGUACUCCGCAAAAUCACUAUAUAAUAGAUUUUCCAGAAAUAAAAUAAGCGAAAACAAGAGGGAAAAUACGACAGCAAAAUAAGGUGCUCAAGAUUUCUUUACGUGUAUUCUUUCUCGUUAUUUGAAACUCAAGCACAUCAACUGUUUAGUUGAAUAGCAGUGGAAAAAAGGUCGUUGAAGUGUCAAGAAUCACCAUCAUCCAUCUUGCGGAGAAAGAAAAAAAAUCUGGCCUAAGGUUUAGUCAACUUAAGCACCGAAGGAUAUCGAUUGAUAGAUGGAACGUGUUGGAUAAAUUUAUGAAAGCACUGGAAAACUUCGACAAUGAAAAAUAAUUAAGUUUACCUAUGAUGUAACUGUGAAAAAAUUUUUUUUGGUGAAUAUUUAUUCUCGAAACUAAUAUUUAAUCUAACUAGUUCACAAUAAAAAUGUGCUUAAGUAUUUUUAAAGUAAACUAUUGC